This 383-nucleotide ribosomal RNA is filed under the name uncultured bacterium. RNAcentral's name for it is "bacterial SSU rRNA". It matches the Rfam family "Bacterial small subunit ribosomal RNA", at positions 28 to 410 of the family's 1533-position model. The record is from RNAcentral.
GACGAACGCUGGCGGCGUGCUUAACACAUGCAAGUCGAGCGGUAAGGCCCUUUCGGGGGUACGACGAGCGGCGAACGGGUGAGUAACACGUGGGUGACCUGCCCUCAGCUCUGGGAUAAGCCUGGGAAACCGGGUCUAAUACCGGAUAUGACUCCAUGACGCAUGUUGUGGGGUGGAAAGCCUUGUGCGGCUGAGGAUGGGCCCGCGGCCUAUCAGCUUGUUGGUGGGGUGAUGGCCUACCAAGGCGACGACGGGUAGCCGGCCUGAGAGGGCGACCGGCCACACUGGGACUGAGACACGGCCCAGACUCCUACGGGAGGCAGCAGUGGGGAAUCUUGCGCAAUGGGGCGAAAGCCUGACGCAGCGACGCCGCGUGAGGGAUG